AUGUUCAUCCUCUCAUACAUAUCCGAUUUGGGGUCCAUUUGUAAACCUACGGACAGUACCGGACGGGCCACUCUAGUCCGCCCAAACAGAUGGUUGCAGCCUCGAGAUAUGCUCUACAAGAUAAACGUUGAUGCAUCGGUGGCCGGGAACAGACGAGGAGGGGCUAUAGCUGCUAUAUGCCGUGACCAUGAGGGUAUUUUCCAGGGGGCUUCAUCUCUGGUUAUCAGAGGGGUCUAUGAUCCCCCAACUCUGGAAGUUUUGGCUAUCAGGGAGGCGCUAGCCCUAGCUGAUGAUUUGAAUCUGCAAAGGAUACAUGUUGCAUCUGACUGCAAGGUGCCAGUGGACGACAUCAAGAAGAGGAACAUGGCGAGCUACGGAGCCAUUAUAAAUGAAAUUAUCGAUCACAGCAGUACGCUUUUGGUUUGUAGCUUUGUCCAUGAAUUUAGGAGCUCGAAUUUCGAAGCUCACGAUCUAGCGAAGCGAGGUUUGAAUUUAGGGGUGGGCCGCCAUGUUUGGUUAGGCCACCCCGGUGAUCUUUGUUUUGUACCUGUAAACAUUAUGACCAUUUGA
Molecule: ribosomal RNA, 570 nt
Filed under: Triticum aestivum (bread wheat)
Lineage: Eukaryota; Viridiplantae; Streptophyta; Magnoliopsida; Poales; Poaceae
Description: partial small subunit ribosomal RNA
Source: RNAcentral